GAUUAAGCCAUGCAUGUCUAAGUAUAAGCAAUUAUACGGCGAAACUGCGAAUGGCUCAUUAUAUAAGUUAUCGUUUAUUUGAUAGCACUUUACCACUUGGAUAACCGUGGUAAUUCUAGAGCUAAUACAUGCUAAAAAUCCCGACUUCGGAAGGGAUGUAUUUAUUAGAUUAAAAGCCAAUGCCCUCUGGGCUCUCUGGUGAAUCAUGAUAACUGCUCGAAUCGCAGGGCCUCGUGCCGGCGAUGGUUCGUUCAAAUUUCUUCCCUAUCAACUUUCGAUGUUUGGGUAUUGGCCAAACAUGGUUACAACGGGUAACGGAGGGUUAGGGCUCGACCCCGGAGAAGGAGCCUGAGAAACGGCUACUACAUCCAAGGAAGGCAGCAGGCGCGCAAAUUACCCAAUCCCGACACGGGGAGGUAGUGACAAUAAAUACUGAUACAGGGCUCUUUCGGGUCUUGUAAUUGGAAUGAGUACAAUUUAAAUCCCUUAACAAGGAACAAUUGGAGGGCAAGUCUGGUGCCAGCAGCCGCGGUAAUUCCAGCUCCAAUAGCGUAUAUUAAAGUUGUUGUGGUUAAAAAGCUCGUAGUUGACCCUUGGGCCUGGCUGGCCGGUCCGCCUCACCGCGUGUACUGGUCCGGCCGGGCCUUUCCCUCUGUGGAACCCCAUGCCCUUCACUGGGCGUGGCGGGGAAACAGGACUUUUACUUUGAGAAAAUUAGAGUGCUCCAGGCACGCCUAUGCUCGAAUACAUUAGCAUGGAAUAAUAGAAUAGGACGUGCGGUUCUAUUUUGUUGGUUUCUAGGACCGCCGUAAUGAUUAAUACGGACAGUCGGGGGCAUCAGUAUUCAAUUGUCAGAGGUGAAAUUCUUGGAUCUAUUGAAGACUAACUACUGCGAAAGCAUUUGCCAAGGAUGUUUUCAUUAAUCAAGAACGAAAGUUAGGGGGUCGAAGACGAUCAGAUACCGUCGUAGUCCUGACCGUAAACUAUGCCGACUAGGGAUCGGACGAUGUUAUUUUUUGACUCGUUCGGCACCUUACGAGAAAUCAAAGUGCUUGGGCUCCAGGGGGAGUAUGGUCGCAAGG
Molecule: ribosomal RNA, 1082 nt
Filed under: Pleurocordyceps sinensis
Lineage: Eukaryota; Fungi; Ascomycota; Sordariomycetes; Hypocreales; Polycephalomycetaceae
Description: SSU rRNA
Rfam family: Eukaryotic small subunit ribosomal RNA
Source: RNAcentral